This 460-nucleotide ribosomal RNA is filed under the name uncultured bacterium. RNAcentral's name for it is "partial 16S ribosomal RNA". It matches the Rfam family "Bacterial small subunit ribosomal RNA", at positions 338 to 795 of the family's 1533-position model. The record is from RNAcentral.
CCUACGGGUGGCAGCAGUGAGGAAUAUUGGUCAAUGGCCGGAAGGCUGAACCAGCCAUGCCGCGUGAAGGUCAGUGCCCUAUGGGCGUUAAACUUCUUUUGUGCGGGAGCAAUAAUGGUCACGUGUGGCCAGACGAGAGUACCGUACGAAUAAGCAUCGGCUAACUCCGUUCCAGCAGCCGCGGUAAUACGGGGGAUUCAAGCGUUAUCCGGAUUUAUUGGGGUUAAAGGGUGCCUAGGCUGGGAGGUAAGUCAGCGGUGAAAUGCCCCCGCCCAACGGGGUGAAGUGCCAUUGAUACUGCAUGGCUGGAAGGCGGAUGCCGUGGGAGGAAUGUGUGGUGUAGCGGUGAAAUGCAUAGAUAUCACACAGAACACCGAUUGCGAAGGCAUCUCACGAAUCCGCGAUUGACGCUGAUGCACGAAAGCGUGGGUAUCAAACAGGAUUAGAUACCCUAGUAGUC